CCUCUCGUAACUUACUGGUAAGGUAAUGAUACGUAAAACCAGGGACCCGGGUUCGAUUCCCGGCGAAAGUG
RNAcentral lists this transfer RNA (71 nucleotides) under Agrilus planipennis (emerald ash borer). It matches the Rfam family "tRNA". Rfam says of the family: Transfer RNA (tRNA) molecules are approximately 80 nucleotides in length. Their secondary structure includes four short double-helical elements and three loops (D, anti-codon, and T loops). The record is from Rfam by way of RNAcentral. Lineage: Eukaryota; Metazoa; Arthropoda; Insecta; Coleoptera; Buprestidae.